This 221-nucleotide long non-coding RNA is filed under the name Hordeum vulgare. RNAcentral describes it as "long non-coding RNA (HVUL_LNC006537)". Lineage: Eukaryota; Viridiplantae; Streptophyta; Magnoliopsida; Poales; Poaceae. The record is from RNAcentral.
AUUGAGUAACCAUCAGUGCAGAGCCGAGUUGGGAAAGUAUUGAAACCCUUAGAUAAGAAAAGAUUCAAUAGAUGAAUUUAGUUACACACGAGAAAAAUUAGUCAACAUGAGGGGCUUGUGAGAGCAAGUGAGCAAGAACAUACCACUGCGAGUUAUUUUGCAUCACUGCUUUUCUAGCAUUUUCGGCUUCCACCGCAACAGAGGAGGUGAACAUUGCGGAC